Molecule: ribosomal RNA, 497 nt
Filed under: uncultured bacterium
Lineage: Bacteria
Description: partial 16S ribosomal RNA
Rfam family: Bacterial small subunit ribosomal RNA
Source: RNAcentral
GAUGAACGCUGGCGGCGUGCCUAAUACAUGCAAGUCGAGCGAACAGACGAGGAGCUUGCUCCUCUGACGUUAGCGGCGGACGGGUGAGUAACACGUGGAUAACCUACCUAUAAGACUGGGAUAACUUCGGGAAACCGGAGCUAAUACCGGAUAAUAUAUUGAACCGCAUGGUUCAAUAGUGAAAGACGGUUUUGCUGUCACUUAUAGAUGGAUCCGCGCCGCAUUAGCUAGUUGGUAAGGUAACGGCUUACCAAGGCAACGAUCCGUAGCCGACCUGAGAGGUGGAUCGCCCCAACUGGAACUGAGCCACGGUCCAGACUCCUACGGGAGGCAGCAGUAGGGAAUCUUCGGCAAUGGGCGAAAGCCUGACGGAGCAACGCCGCGUGAGUGAUGAAGUUCUUCGGAUCGUAAAACUCUGUUAUUAGGGAAGAACAAAUGUGUAAGUAACUAUGCACGUCUUGACGGUACCUAAUCAGAAAGCCACGGCUAACUACGUG